RNAcentral lists this transfer RNA (81 nucleotides) under Elusimicrobia bacterium RIFOXYB2_FULL_48_7. RNAcentral describes it as "tRNA-Leu". It matches the Rfam family "tRNA". Rfam says of the family: Transfer RNA (tRNA) molecules are approximately 80 nucleotides in length. Their secondary structure includes four short double-helical elements and three loops (D, anti-codon, and T loops). The record is from RNAcentral. Lineage: Bacteria; Pseudomonadati; Elusimicrobiota.
GGGCGCGUGGCGGAAUUGGCAUACGCGUACGGCUUAGGACCGUAUGGGAAACCUGUGGAGGUUCAAGUCCUCUCGCGCCCA